GAUGAACGCUGGCUACAGGCUUAACACAUGCAAGUCGAGGGGAAACGACGGGGAAGCUUGCUUCCCCGGGCGUCGACCGGCGCACGGGUGAGUAACGCGUAUCCAACCUGCCUCUGACUGAGGGAUAACCCGUCGAAAGUCGGCCUAAUACCUCAUGGCAUCGUCUGCGGGCAUCCAACGACGAUUAAAGAUUUCAUCGGUCAGGGAUGGGGAUGCGUCUGAUUAGCUUGUUGGCGGGGUAACGGCCCACCAAGGCUACGAUCAGUAGGGGUUCUGAGAGGAAGGUCCCCCACAUUGGAACUGAGACACGGUCCAUACUCCUACGGGAGGCAGCAGUGAGGAAUAUUGGUCAAUGGGCGGGAGCCUGAACCAGCCAAGUAGCGUGCAGGAUGACGGCCCUAUGGGUUGUAAACUGCUUUUAUGCGGGGAUAAAGUGAGGGACGUGUCCUUCAUUGCAGGUACCGCAUGAAUAAGGACCGGCUAAGUCCGUG
RNAcentral lists this ribosomal RNA (491 nucleotides) under uncultured bacterium. Its description in RNAcentral is "partial 16S ribosomal RNA". It matches the Rfam family "Bacterial small subunit ribosomal RNA", at positions 28 to 507 of the family's 1533-position model. The record is from RNAcentral.